Podarcis lilfordi (Lilford's wall lizard) is the source of this 908-nucleotide non-coding RNA. NCBI's taxonomy places the organism in Eukaryota, Metazoa, Chordata, Lepidosauria, Squamata, Lacertidae. The record is from the annotation of a GenBank genome assembly.
AUGCCAAUAUAAUUAGUAUCAAGCCUUAACUUUAGUUCAGAAACAUAGUUGAAACUUUUAAGCCAAGAGAAAAUAGUGGAAACAAUGUUUCACUCACUGACAGUCAAGUAGUCUAUUCACAGUCAAUGCGGAGCUCCACAAUGCAGCGAUUUUAAUGGCUGCCGUUCCCAGGUUCCGAGUGGUGAAAAGUUAACUUUACCCUCUUUUUCUGCAGGCAGAUAAUGUCUAAAAGUCCUCCCCCUUUUCCCCUGCAACCAAGGGGGGGUUCGCUAUUUUUAUACUGGAGAUUUAGAAGUCAAAAGCAGUCUUUCAGUCUUUCAAACCUCUUUGCUUCCAACUAUUUACAAAAAGAGGAAGGCGGACUUCCUGUUUUGCGCCUCCCCCGUUCGUAGCCGAAUUCAACUUUUUAAAGAUCCAAUUUCUUCACUUUACUCACAGGUAAUUACUUUAGAUCCGAAUGUCCACAGGAAAAAGUCAGCGCUCCCCGGCAAUGGCUGUGCGGCUUCACUCCGUGAAAGUAGCAGUCAGUUCACUGUACCGCGCCACUCACCCCACUCGCUCCGGAGCCAUUAAAUGGGAUUCCCCGCAAGUAGGGGGCGCUCCAGGUGCCCUGCCGAACCCCCACAUUCCCAGGCUUCCUCCACCUGAGAUUUCUAGCGGAUCCCCACCUUAGCCGUGGCGGGCGACCCAGUUUUCACGGAGCCAGUUCCUCCGCUUAGAGGAGCUCCGCCAUUAGCCGCUGGCGCUGACCCCGGAAGUCUCCACGCUUUCUGUUCUCAUCCUGAAGCAAAGUUCUUAACCUGAGGUACUAUUUCUGGGUUAGCGGAGUCUGUAAACUGAAGUGUCUGUAACUGGAAGCGUAUAUAACCCGAGGUACCACUGUAUAUUAGAACUUUGUACUAAAAUGC